Molecule: long non-coding RNA, 1646 nt
Organism: Helianthus annuus (common sunflower)
Lineage: Eukaryota; Viridiplantae; Streptophyta; Magnoliopsida; Asterales; Asteraceae
Exons: 10
Source: RefSeq, a predicted model, not a curated record
GUUUUUUUGUGCUUGAAGCAUUGUUUUUGGUUUUAUCUCUUCUUUUGUGACAAGCAAUCUAUGGUGCUGAGUUGAUUGAUUCAGUUCUGGAUUUCCAACGAGCGAUGAUUGAAGUAGAGAUCUCUGAAGCAAUGGUGUGGUAACUCGAGUGGCGGCGGCGGUGGUGGUGGUGCAAUCAUUUCGAUUCAACCAACCAUCUGGAUUCUUGAGCAGAUCGGUUGCAAACUGAGAGGAGAUCCUAGCAGUACAUGGUGAUCAAGGUUGGUUCCGACAACCCGAUUCCGAUUUAGCGGCCGCAUGUAUAUUUUUCGAGAACAAAGUUCUGGAGGCUUUAAUGAUGAUUCUAACAGCUACAGUAACGAUUUGCGACACCGUAAGGGGCUAUUAACGGAUAUUUGUAGAAUAGGUGGUGUUCAUAUUGGGUUGAGUUAGGGCACAAUAAGUGGGUGAUUCAGGACAUUUGUUUUGGUGUAAUUGUUGAUGUGUGGGAAAUUGAUGGCGAUCACAAUCAGAGGUCAACAUGUUACCGCACAGCUUGGUUAGCGACUAUAAUUGACAACUAUGGCCGGAACUCGGAAGGCGUUUACACGAUCCCGUUUGUGUUGUGUAUAAAGAAAAAAUCCAUGUCAUACCUGAUAUUGCAAACACUUGAUCCUUAUAUGUUACUACCUUUGAGGAGUAGGAGAUGCAAAGAUAUAAGGGAUAACAUUGAUGGGGCUGGGUCUAGAAAAUAACUGAUCAGUGGACUAAGAUGCUCUUCUUUCUGGGAGAUGGCUUUUCUUUAUGACAAUCUUUUGGUGAAUAUGCGUUUCGUAUGGACACUUUAAUGGUUGUUUUUUAAUCAUUAGAGGAAAAGGAAAGCCCAACGAUCAAGCACCCGCCCCAAAAGCGGAGACCGGAGAACUGCCAGGUUGUGGAGGAAUAAAAAUAGGUAUUCGGGUCGAAGCAGAGCUUAGAGAGAAUUAUUCACCUGGUUGGAAGUAUUCUCACUGAAAAAGAAGGUGUUCCCCUGAGGAUUGAAAUAACAACAAAGGGCCUUACUAAUAACCAAGUGAUUGCAGUGGGGCCGAGCUCUCUGAAUGAAGAAGGAAACGAAAAAAGGGUGCCAUGACAUGGAUGUUCUUUCCUCAUUACGCUUGCAACAAAGUUCAAGAAAGACGAGAGUAUUUAUCUACCAAAAGACAUGCAAGCUCUAUAGCGUUUAACCGAGACCACCGAAAAAACAAACAUGGAGCUUUCAACUUUGACACAAGCUAAUAUUAGGUGGACGAAUAGUUAAUUUCUCUUUUUUAUUGUUUUGCUGUCUUUGCAACUCAUUUAAUCCAAAUUUGUUGUUUUUGACUGCAUAUUACUGAACAAAUCUAUACCAAGAAAAAGUGGAGAAGGUAUGACAGUUGUUGAAUGAAUGAGUCUAGGGGUGAGCUUUUCGUGGUUCCGACCUGCGAGAACCAUUGACCUGACCCUCCAAAAUCGCGGAGCAGAAGUUUUCGGUUCUAUGUUAGAGUCGGUUCAGUUCUGAGUCGUCAAGCUUAAAUGGAAGCAUGAGAACUUACUGGAAUUUAAAUUGAAAAAAAAUAUUUUUUUGUUUGAUGCGCUAUUACUCUUCGUACAAUUGAGCAUGAUUAAAAAUGAAUGAUGUUUAGUUU